GUAGGGUGCGAGCGUUAAUCGGAAUUACUGGGCGUAAAGCGUGCGCAGGCGGUUUUGUAAGACAGGCGUGAAAUCCCCGGGCUUAACCUGGGAACUGCGUUUGUGACUGCAAGGCUAGAGUAUGGCAGAGGGGGGUAGAAUUCCACGUGUAGCAGUGAAAUGCGUAGAUAUGUGGAGGAAUACCGAUGGCGAAGGCAGCCCCCUGGGUCAAUACUGACGCUCAUGCACGAAAGCGUGGGGAGCAAACAGGAUUAGAUACCCUGGUAGUCCACGCCCUAAACGAUGUCAACUAGGUGUUGGGGGAGGAGACUUCCUUAGUACCGCAGCUAACGCGUGAAGUUGACCGCCUGGGGAGUACGGCCGCAAGGUUG
This 371-nucleotide ribosomal RNA is filed under the name uncultured bacterium. Its description in RNAcentral is "bacterial SSU rRNA". It matches the Rfam family "Bacterial small subunit ribosomal RNA", at positions 527 to 896 of the family's 1533-position model. The record is from RNAcentral.